GUCGAGCUGACGAGUCCCAAAUGGGACGAAACGCGCGUCGUGGAU
Molecule: non-coding RNA, 45 nt
Organism: Schistosoma curassoni
Lineage: Eukaryota; Metazoa; Platyhelminthes; Trematoda; Strigeidida; Schistosomatidae
Source: Rfam